Herbaspirillum sp. CF444 is the source of this 64-nucleotide non-coding RNA. Lineage: Bacteria; Pseudomonadati; Pseudomonadota; Betaproteobacteria; Burkholderiales; Oxalobacteraceae. The record is from Rfam.
AAGCUGAGUAGAAGCGGCUAGCCGUCGAUCCAAAUACCAUCGACUGUGGGGCAUUGCUCGUGAC